AGCAUUUAUGUGCUUAUGUGCAAAUGAGCACCUGUGGAAUUUUUAGUUAAAAAAAAAAAAAACUUCUGAAAAUUCCAUCAGCAUCCACUUGUAUGUUUAGAAAUCAAAACAUAAAGGCAAGCAGUCUCCUUUGAGAGAUGCUGCCUUAAGUUGGAAGAAACCUGACAAGUCACAAGCCUCUUCACUGGCCAUUGCUUAGUUGCUGAUGCACCGAGGCUGCUCAGGUCCCCGAGUGACUGGAUAGUUAUUCCUACUUGUUUUUUCCCUUCAGCAACACCUAAUGUUCUGGUCCACAGCACCCAGGCCCUCAGCAUGGUCUUUGCAAGAGUGAGUUCAGAAUAUUUCAUGGCCAACUCAGAUAUCAAAGAGGAGAGAAUACAGUGGGGGAUUUCAGGGAAUCCCAAGAGGCAGGCAGAGGAGGGGAGGCAGCCCAAAGCAGUGUGGGGACUAAAACACAAAGAUGGAGGAGUAUUAACUACCUGUAUUUCCAGACACAUGGAUUUCAUACCCUUACUGCAGAAGCAUACGCUAUGUUAUGUUAUGAUAAUGAUAUAAUAAUCCUUAUAGCUACAUUUUUAACAAUUUAGGUAGCAGGCUUUGGAAAUCUUGAGUCUACAGCUGUUUAAAGAAAAGAUCCCAGCUGAUCAGUGCCAUGAGGUAAAUCUUAUACCGGGACUGGAGUUCAAGCUCAUUGAAGGGGAGAUGGCAGAAGGCAGCAGAAUUACUCAUCCUUACUGGACCAGUGUUUGAGCUCAGCCACCACUGAAGCUGGCAGUGGUGCAGGAAGCCAUCCAUCCACCCACCUCUGGCUCCUCUUCCCUGCCCUGCGCUGCUCUCUCUUGCAUGAAGGCAUGAUGCAGCAACAAGGCUGGCGUGCAUUUUAAAACUAUCCCGGCAAAAAGCAAGGGGUGAUUGUAACCUGGAACAGUUCUGUGUGAUGACUGCAUGAAGAAUAAUGCUGACAGUGUUGGAAUGAGGGGGUUGUAUAGCAGCUGUGCUCCUGGAAAGCUACGGCCUCCAUAACAGAAGAGAGAGAGGAAGCUCCAGCUGUUGAACUGGGAACAGAAGCAAUAGCACCUGAUAAUAGAUAAUAACCCACAUCACAAACAGUUACCAAAAGUUCAUCCACUGAAAGUUUUUGCAAGGUAGCACUAUACUCAGCUCGCUGCCCUACUCCAUCCCAGCAUGGUGAGCCCCCCACCCCAUUCCCAGCAGGGAUG
Molecule: long non-coding RNA, 1220 nt
Organism: Oxyura jamaicensis (ruddy duck)
Lineage: Eukaryota; Metazoa; Chordata; Aves; Anseriformes; Anatidae
Exons: 5
Source: RefSeq, a predicted model, not a curated record